UACAGAGGGUGCAAGCGUUAAUCGGAGUUACUGGGCGUAAAGCGUGCGUAGGCGGUGUCUUAAGUUUGUUGUGAAAUCUCCCGGCUUAACCGGGAGGGUGCGGCGAAUACUGAGAUGCUGGAGUGCCGGAGAGGUAAGCGGAAUUCCUGGUGUAGCGGUGAAAUGCGUAGAUAUCAGGAGGAACACCUGCGGUGUAGACGGCUUACUGGACGGUAACUGACGCUGAGGCACGAAAGCGUGGGUAGCAAACAGG
RNAcentral lists this ribosomal RNA (253 nucleotides) under uncultured bacterium. Its description in RNAcentral is "partial 16S ribosomal RNA". It matches the Rfam family "Bacterial small subunit ribosomal RNA", at positions 524 to 776 of the family's 1533-position model. The record is from RNAcentral.